UGGGUGACCUGCCCUUAGCUCUGGGAUAAGCCUGGGAAACUGGGUCUAAUACCGGAUAUGACUCCAUGACGCAUGUUGUGGGGUGGAAAGCCUUGUGCGGCUAGGGAUGGGCCCGCGGCCACCAGCUUGUUGGUGGGGUGAUGGCCUACCAAGGCGACGAUGGGUAGCUGGUCUGAGAGGACGACCAGCCACACUGGGACUGAGACACGGCCCAG
Molecule: ribosomal RNA, 215 nt
Filed under: uncultured bacterium
Lineage: Bacteria
Description: partial 16S ribosomal RNA
Rfam family: Bacterial small subunit ribosomal RNA
Source: RNAcentral